This 372-nucleotide long non-coding RNA is filed under the name Mytilus galloprovincialis (Mediterranean mussel). Lineage: Eukaryota; Metazoa; Mollusca; Bivalvia; Mytilida; Mytilidae. The record is from RNAcentral.
CCGAAACAUCACCUAUGACGGUGGGAAAAAUAUAGGUAAAGUCUUAAUAGUCUUUCUCGCAAUCCAUGCUUGAACUUUAUACCUAAUAACCUAGGAGAAUAUGUUUCAAUUAAAAAAAAAGAAAAGAUAAUAGAUAUAAAGGAGAUACAGUUUGAUUGAAAACGAGAAAACUAUCCACCAAAGUUAAACAAAAGUGGACUGAAGAAAUGAUAGACCACCAUUCGUCCUUCAAAAAUGAGAAAACCCAUUACCGUAUAGUAGGCUAUAUCAAAAAGCCUCGAAAUGAAAAUGUGAAAAAUUUCAAACUGGAAACUUAUGCCUCAAUAAUAUUAAACUCAUGUUAAGCAUACUGUUGAGUGCCCAACAACCCCU